AUUGAACGCUGGCGGCAGGCCUAACACAUGCAAGUCGAGCGGGGUUUUCGGACCUAGCGGCGGACGGGUGAGUAAUGCGUAGGAAGCUACCCGAUAGAGGGGGAUACCAGUUGGAAACGACUGUUAAUACCGCAUAAUGUCUACGGACCAAAGUGUGGGACCUUCGGGCCACAUGCUAUCGGAUGCGCCUACGUGGGAUUAGCUAGUUGGUGAGGUAAUGGCUCACCAAGGCGACGAUCCCUAGCUGGUUUGAGAGGAUGAUCAGCCACACUGGAACUGAGACACGGUCCAGACUCCUACGGGAGGCAGCAGUGGGGAAUAUUGGACAAUGGGCGCAAGCCUGAUCCAGCCAUGCCGCGUGUGUGAAG
Molecule: ribosomal RNA, 368 nt
Filed under: uncultured bacterium
Lineage: Bacteria
Description: bacterial SSU rRNA
Rfam family: Bacterial small subunit ribosomal RNA
Source: RNAcentral